RNAcentral lists this long non-coding RNA (236 nucleotides) under Lathyrus oleraceus (garden pea). RNAcentral describes it as "Pisum sativum (pea) long non-coding RNA (PSAT_LNC011718)". Lineage: Eukaryota; Viridiplantae; Streptophyta; Magnoliopsida; Fabales; Fabaceae. The record is from RNAcentral.
GGAGCGUUGGAUCUUGCCUCAUUAAUUGAUGUGGCAGAUCUAACAAUCAUAAGGCUAGGGUGCACGAUGGAAAUUAUUUAAAAUGAAACACAAGAUUGUAUUUAAGUUGAACCAAUCUGAACAUUUCAAAUGUCCAACAUGGAAGCAAACUCAGAUGACCUGAGAUAGAUGUUGGCCAUCUUCCCCGAUGAUCCCUCACUGGAGUUUCAUCAUUUGGUAAAUUCAGAACACGAGAC